RNAcentral lists this ribosomal RNA (496 nucleotides) under uncultured bacterium. RNAcentral's name for it is "partial 16S ribosomal RNA". It matches the Rfam family "Bacterial small subunit ribosomal RNA", at positions 28 to 506 of the family's 1533-position model. The record is from RNAcentral.
GAUGAACGCUGGCGGCGUGCCUAAUACAUGCAAGUCGAGCGAACAGAUGAGGAGCUUGCUCCUCUGACGUUAGCGGCGGACGGGUGAGUAACACGUGGAUAACCUACCUAUAAGACUGGGAUAACUUCGGGAAACCGGAGCUAAUACCGGAUAAUAUAUUGAACCGCAUGGUUCAAUAGUGAAAGACGGUUUUGCUGUCACUUAUAGAUGGAUCCGCGCCGCAUUAGCUAGUUGGUAAGGUAACGGCUUACCAAGGCAACGAUGCGUAGCCGACCUGAGAGGGUGAUCGGCCACACUGGAACUGAGACACGGUCCAGACUCCUACGGGAGGCAGCAGUAGGGAAUCUUCCGCAAUGGGCGAAAGCCUGACGGAGCAACGCCGCGUGAGUGAUGAAGGUCUUCGGAUCGUAAAACUCUGUUAUUAGGGAAGAACAAAUGUGUAAGUAACUAUGCACGUCUGGACGGUACCUAAUCAGAAAACCACGGCUAACUACGU